CAGCCGCCGCGGGAAUACGUAGGUGGCAAGCGUUGUCCGGAAUUAUUGGGCGUAAAGCGCGCGCAGGUGGUUUAAUAAGUCUGAUGUGAAAGCCCACGGCUCAACCGUGGAGGGUCAUUGGAAACUGUUAAACUUGAGUGCAGGAGAGAAAAGUGGAAUUCCUAGUGUAGCGGUGAAAUGCGUAGAGAUUAGGAGGAACACCAGUGGCGAAGGCGGCUUUUUGGCCUGUAACUGACACUGAGGCGCGAAAGCGUGGGGAGCAAACAGGAUUAGAGACCCGAGUAGUCCCUGUCCUUAUACA
RNAcentral lists this ribosomal RNA (301 nucleotides) under uncultured bacterium. RNAcentral's name for it is "partial 16S ribosomal RNA". It matches the Rfam family "Bacterial small subunit ribosomal RNA", at positions 509 to 809 of the family's 1533-position model. The record is from RNAcentral.